RNAcentral lists this ribosomal RNA (390 nucleotides) under uncultured bacterium. Its description in RNAcentral is "bacterial SSU rRNA". It matches the Rfam family "Bacterial small subunit ribosomal RNA", at positions 28 to 419 of the family's 1533-position model. The record is from RNAcentral.
GACGAACGCUGGCGGCGUGCUUAACACAUGCAAGUCGAGCGGUAAGGCCCUUUCGGGGGUACACGAGCGGCGAACGGGUGAGUAACACGUGGGUGACCUGCCCUCAGCUCUGGGAUAAGCCUGGGAAACCGGGUCUAAUACUGGAUAUGACUCCAUGACGCAUGUUGUGGGGUGGAAAGCCUUGUGCGGCUGAGGAUGGGCCCGCGGCCUAUCAGCUUGUUGGUGGGGUGANGGCCUACCAAGGCGACGACGGGUAGCCGGCCUGAGAGGGCGACCGGCCACACUGGGACUGAGACACGGCCCAGACUCCUACGGGAGGCAGCAGUGGGGAAUCUCGCGCAAUGGGCGAAAGCCUGACGCAGCGACGCCGCGUGAGGGAUGACGGCCUGG